CAUUCGCCGUAAUAAGGAAGGUUAACUAAAUUCAAUUAGAGAGAAAACUAAACUUUAACGUUUCUUGGUAGAGAGAAAUAGUGAUUAACACCAAAUGUUAGUUAUUUCCUGCCCAGGUUGUACCUUAAGCCUGAAUUAGCAGUCUUCAUAGAUGGUUUUACUAUUUAAAUAUAUAAUAUAAACGCAUGCGUCAACCAUUUUCAAACAUUUCUUAAGUAUUCCUUGGGCGCUUUGCGACAGUAUGGUAAAGUGAAUUGGUUGGUAAUUAAUUCCAGCAAAGCACGUGUCUCCUUGCCUUAGGUGGAAAGUCUCUGAUUUGAGAGGACUGCCUUCGAAGGAAAUCCCUGACGUGUGUUUACCCUGGAUAUCGAGGCAAAUACGAAUCUGUCAUGCAGUCAGUUAAUUCGUAACUGAGGUGUUCUGUGUAUGUAUUAGGCAGUUAAGAAACUUAAGUGCAUAGUGGACAACCUACAGGCACUAGGCCCGGACCUAUACGGUUCCAAUCAGCGCACAAAAAUAGCUGCUGGUCCGCAGUCGAAGUGUCGAGCAGCCAAAGUGCAAUUCCCAGGUUACGAUAAUUGACACCAAGCGUUUAGAAUAGAUGGAAUAAACAAGACGUCACACAAGUGAAACCAAGGAAAUGUUAGCAACGUGACGUCCAGGCUUAUAGCUGCCUUACAACUACGAAACAUAUUGUUAAAUAAAAUUACACUAGAUUUGAAAGCAAAUAUCAACAUUCGCAGGCUGAGAAAAGUUUUUCUAGUCAUAAUUUGCAUAAAAUACCA
Molecule: long non-coding RNA, 785 nt
Organism: Stegodyphus dumicola
Lineage: Eukaryota; Metazoa; Arthropoda; Arachnida; Araneae; Eresidae
Source: RefSeq, a predicted model, not a curated record